GAUGAACGCUGGCGGCGUGCCUAAUACAUGCAAGUCGAGCGAACAGACGAGGAUCUUGCUCCUCUUACGUUAGCGGCGGACGGGUGAUUAACACGUGGCUAACCUACCUAUAAGACUGGGAUAACUUCGGGAAACCGGAGCUCAUACCGGAUAAUAUAUUGAACCGCAUGGUUCAAUAGUGAAAGCCGUUUUUGCUGUCACUUAUAGAUGUUUCCUCGCCGCAUUAGCUAGUUGGUAAGGUAACGGCUUACCAAGGCAACGAUGCGUAGCCGACCUGAGAGGAUGAUCGGCCACACUGGAACUGAGACACGGUCCAGACUCCUACGGGAGGCAGCAGUAGGGAAUCUUCCGCAAUGGGCGAAAGCCUGACGGAGCAACGCCGCGUGAGUGAUGAAGGUCUUCGGAUCGUAAAACUCUGUUAUUAGGGAAGAACAAAUGUGAAAGUAAAUAUGCACGUCUUGACGGUACCUAAACAGAAAGCAACGGCUAACUACGUG
RNAcentral lists this ribosomal RNA (497 nucleotides) under uncultured bacterium. RNAcentral describes it as "partial 16S ribosomal RNA". It matches the Rfam family "Bacterial small subunit ribosomal RNA", at positions 28 to 507 of the family's 1533-position model. The record is from RNAcentral.